Molecule: unclassified non-coding RNA, 303 nt
Filed under: uncultured Chaetomium
Lineage: Eukaryota; Fungi; Ascomycota; Sordariomycetes; Sordariales; Chaetomiaceae
Description: sequence contains ITS1
Rfam family: 5.8S ribosomal RNA (bases 1-105)
Source: RNAcentral
GAAAUGCGAUAAGGAAUGUGAAUUGCAGAAUUCAGAUAAUCAUCGAAUCUUUGAACUCACAUUGCGACCGCCAGUACUCUGGCGGGCAUGCCUGUUCGAGCGUCAUUUCAACCAUCAAGCCCCGCGCUUGUGCUGGGGACCUGCGGCUGCCCGCAGGCUCCGAAAACCAGUGGCGGGCUCGCUCUCACUCCGAGCGUAGUAGUUUACAUCUCGCUCAGGGCGUGCUGCGGGAUCCGGCCGCAAAAACCCCCCCCUUACACCAAGGUUGACCGCGGAUCAGGUAGGAAUACCCGCUGAACUUAA